GAAGUUGAAUCAAAGCUUUGGUUGAUCCUGGGUCUGCCUUUCCCACCCUGUCGGUUCUUUUUCAGUUUAAGACGUUUCCCUGUUACCACAGAARGAGCCAACAGCGACUCUCAGGUGAAAGGUGCGUUUAAGAUGUCAGGAUUUCAACAUCAUCUUCAAGGGGCAUCCACUUUAGAAAUCUGGAAAUCUUAUUUUCCACGUUUAAGUGAAGCCUGGACAAAGCUUGCAUCAGUAACACAUCUAAGAAGACAAGUGAAAUGUAUUCUAGAUUAAUUGGGGCGAAGCAGGUGCCAG
Long non-coding RNA from Nothoprocta perdicaria, 294 nucleotides. RefSeq lists it as uncharacterized. The record is from RefSeq and is a predicted model, not a curated record. The transcript has 2 exons. NCBI's taxonomy places the organism in Eukaryota, Metazoa, Chordata, Aves, Tinamiformes, Tinamidae.